Molecule: transfer-messenger RNA, 376 nt
Filed under: Actinotignum urinale
Lineage: Bacteria; Bacillati; Actinomycetota; Actinomycetes; Actinomycetales; Actinomycetaceae
Description: Standard tmRNA
Rfam family: transfer-messenger RNA
About the family: Bacterial tmRNA, also known as 10Sa RNA or SsrA, is named for its dual tRNA and mRNA-like properties. Its role is to liberate the mRNA from a stalled ribosome.
Source: RNAcentral
GGGGAUGAUCGGUUUCGACGGCGAUAGUUAGUCGGAGGGAAGCGGGUCGAGGAUUAGAGUCCACUCGUUAACGAUUCUCUAAAAACUAUAGGUGCCAAGAACAAGAGCACCGAUUUCGCCCUCGCUGCUUAAUCUAUAGCGACUUGCGAAAUCUGCUGAACUAUAUGUGCUUUCCGUAUAGACCUCAGCAUCGUUAAGAAAGCCACUGGGUUACGCGUUUGCUACGGGCGCGUGGCCGACACCUAACAUAGAUAGGUUCGUCAAAGCCUCGUUCGCGUGGAACUUUGGAGCCGAAAACAACUACCAGCGAACUGCACCCGGAGAAGACUCUGGUGCCUAUCGUCGGACGGGGGUUCAAUUCCCCCCAUCUCCACUA